This 1489-nucleotide ribosomal RNA is filed under the name uncultured bacterium. RNAcentral describes it as "bacterial SSU rRNA". It matches the Rfam family "Bacterial small subunit ribosomal RNA". The record is from RNAcentral.
AGAGUUUGAUCCUGGCUCAGAUUGAACGCUGGCGGCAUGCUUUACACAUGCAAGUCGAACGGCAGCGCGGGGCAACCUGGCGGCGAGUGGCGAACGGGUGAGUAAUAUAUCGGAACGUACCCAGAAGUGGGGGAUAACGUAGCGAAAGUUACGCUAAUACCGCAUACGAUCUACGGAUGAAAGUGGGGGACCUUCGGGCCUCAUGCUUGUGGAGCGGCCGAUAUCUGAUUAGCUAGUAGGUAGGGUAAAGGCCUACCUAGGCGACGAUCAGUAGCUGGUCUGAGAGGACGACCAGCCACACUGGGACUGAGACACGGCCCAGACUCCUACGGGAGGCAGCAGUGGGGAAUUUUGGACAAUGGGCGCAAGCCUGAUCCAGCAAUGCCGCGUGAGUGAAGAAGGCCUUCGGGUUGUAAAGCUCUUUUGUCAGGGAAGAAACGGCUGAAGAUAAUACCUUUGGCUAAUGACGGUACCUGAAGAAUAAGCACCGGCUAACUACGUGCCAGCAGCCGCGGUAAUACGUAGGGUGCAAGCGUUAAUCGGAAUUACUGGGCGUAAAGCGUGCGCAGGCGGUUUUGUAAGUCUGACGUGAAAUCCCCGGGCUUAACCUGGGAAUUGCGUUGGAGACUGCAAGGCUAGAGUCUGGCAGAGGGGGGUAGAAUUCCACGUGUAGCAGUGAAAUGCGUAGAGAUGUGGAGGAACACCGAUGGCGAAGGCAGCCCCCUGGGUCAAGACUGACGCUCAUGCACGAAAGCGUGGGGAGCAAACAGGAUUAGAUACCCUGGUAGUCCACGCCCUAAACGAUGUCUACUAGUUGUCGGGUUUUAAUUAACUUGGUAACGCAGCUAACGCGUGAAGUAGACCGCCUGGGGAGUACGGUCGCAAGAUUAAAACUCAAAGGAAUUGACGGGGACCCGCACAAGCGGUGGAUGAUGUGGAUUAAUUCGAUGCAACGCGAAAAACCUACCUACCCUUGACAUGUCAGGAAGUCUGGAGAGAUUUGGAUGUGCCCGAAAGGGAGCCUGAACACAGGUGCUGCAUGGCUGUCGUCAGCUCGUGUCGUGAGAUGUUGGGUUAAGUCCCGCAACGAGCGCAACCCUUGUCAUUAGUUGCUACGAAAGGGCACUCUAAUGAGACUGCCGGUGACAAACCGGAGGAAGGUGGGGAUGACGUCAAGUCCUCAUGGCCCUUAUGGGUAGGGCUUCACACGUCAUACAAUGGUGCAUACAGAGGGCCGCCAACCCGCGAGGGGGAGCUAAUCCCAGAAAGUGCAUCGUAGUCCGGAUCGCAGUCUGCAACUCGACUGCGUGAAGUUGGAAUCGCUAGUAAUCGCGGAUCAGCAUGUCGCGGUGAAUACGUUCCCGGGUCUUGUACACACCGCCCGUCACACCAUGGGAGCGGGUUUUACCAGAAGUAGGUAGCUUAACCGCAAGGGGGGCGCUUACCACGGUAGGAUUCGUGACUGGGGUGAAGUCGUAACAAGGUAACC